CGAAUUGAUGAUAGUAUUUUUGUUGCCCGAGUCAUACUCCUGCAAUUUUUCUUAUUACAAUAUGGUAAUUGACAUUCGUAAUUAUCAGAUUU
Molecule: small nucleolar RNA, 92 nt
Organism: Humulus lupulus (European hop)
Lineage: Eukaryota; Viridiplantae; Streptophyta; Magnoliopsida; Rosales; Cannabaceae
Product: small nucleolar RNA U31b
Exons: 1
Source: RefSeq, a predicted model, not a curated record